This is a non-coding RNA of Suncus etruscus (white-toothed pygmy shrew), 426 nucleotides long. Lineage: Eukaryota; Metazoa; Chordata; Mammalia; Eulipotyphla; Soricidae. The record is from the annotation of a RefSeq genome assembly.
AUGGGUUCCAGGCUCCUCUGCUGGGUGAUCCUUUGUCUCGUGGGAGCAGGUCCUGUGGAUCCUGCAGUCACUCAAAUCCCUAAACAUAUCAUCAAAGCAAGAAGUCAGACAGUGACCCUGAGAUGCUACUAUGAAUCUGGACACCAGUCAGUGAGCAGGUACCAACAAACACUGGGCCAGGGCCCCCAGUUUCUAGUAGAGUAUUAUUAUGAAUAAGAGAGAGAGAAAAGCAGCAUCUCUGAUCGCUUCUCAGUUCAGCAGUUUAGAUUAGACUUUCGCUCUAAGCUGAACAUUAGCUUCACAGAAGUGAAUGACUCUGCCCUGUACCUCUGUGCCAGCAGCCUCACAGCCCUGCCUGCUCAGGAGCCUCCUGCACAAAAACAGUACUACCCAUCUCAGGAAGUUACAGUGAAAGGAGAUUGCUAA